AUAAUGAGACUUCCGUCCAGCCACAGUCCUGCGCGAAGCGGGAACACGCAAUGGGGACGGCCCGGCGAGAACCGCGGGGAGGUUAGAUGCCUAUGG
This is a regulatory RNA element of Clostridium sp. CAG:299, 96 nucleotides long. It matches the Rfam family "pemK RNA". NCBI's taxonomy places the organism in Bacteria, Bacillati, Bacillota, Clostridia, Eubacteriales, Clostridiaceae. The record is from Rfam.